UGGGGAAUCUUGCGCAAUGGGGGAAACCCUGACGCAGCGACGCCGCGUGCGGGAUGAAGGCCUUCGGGUUGUAAACCGCUUUCAGCAGGGACGAGGCCUUAUGGUGACGGUACCUGCAGAAGAAGCUCCGGCUAAAUACGUGCCAGCAGCCGCGGUAAUACGUAUGGAGCAAGCGUUAUCCGGAAUUAUUGGGUUUAAAGGGUGCGCAGGUGGCUAAUCAGGUCAGUGGUGAAAAGCUAUGGCUCAACCAUGGUCUUGCCAUUGAAACCGUAUAGCUAGAGAGGAGACGAGGUAGGCGGAAUGUGUGGUGUAGCGGUGAAAUGCAUAGAUAUCACACAGAACUCCGAUUGCGAAGGCAGCUUACCAGGCUUUAUCUGACACUUAGGCACGACAGCGUGGGGAUCAAACAGG
RNAcentral lists this ribosomal RNA (411 nucleotides) under Verrucomicrobiota bacterium. Its description in RNAcentral is "Verrucomicrobia bacterium partial 16S ribosomal RNA". It matches the Rfam family "Bacterial small subunit ribosomal RNA", at positions 355 to 776 of the family's 1533-position model. The record is from RNAcentral. Lineage: Bacteria; Pseudomonadati; Verrucomicrobiota.